UUGUUUGAAAGUCCCACAUUACCAGGGGGUUCAGAGAUUGUUUGUAUAAAGGAUAAGUUUUGCCAUAUCAACCUUUACACUGAACACAAAUCAUCACCAAACUGCUUACCACCAGUUUUUCAAAGUGAUGCACCCUGUACAGUCUUUGGUCCUGUUCAAAUGGAAUUUUUAUACAGUGAUGCUGGUAAAAUUUGCCAUUCUGACAUAGCUUACAGUACGGGAGGCUUGGCCAUUGGAACAAAAAAGGAUAUUUGUUUUCAGGCAAGUCAAGACGGAGAGACCAGAUGUUUUCUAUUGCAUAUAAUUGACAAUAGUAAAG
Long non-coding RNA from Mytilus californianus (California mussel), 319 nucleotides. RefSeq lists it as uncharacterized. The record is from RefSeq and is a predicted model, not a curated record. Lineage: Eukaryota; Metazoa; Mollusca; Bivalvia; Mytilida; Mytilidae. The transcript has 3 exons.